AGCAGCCGCGGUAAUUCCAGCUCCAAUAGCGUAUAUUAAAGUUGUUGCAGUUAAAAAGCUCGUAGUUGAAUUUCGAGAUCAAAUUGUUGGUCGUGCCUUGGUACGCACUGGCAUUAUUGGUUUCUCCCUUCUGACGAACCAUGAUGUCAUUAAUUUGGUGUCUUGGGGAAUCAGGACUGUUACUUUGAAAAAUUAGAGUGUUUAAAGCAGGCUUACGCUUGAAUACAUUAGCAUGGAAUAAUGAAAUAGGACGUUUGAUUCUAUUUUGUUGGUUUUUAGGAUCGACGUAAUGAUUAAUAGGGAUAGUUGGGGGCAUUAGUAUUCAAUUGUCAGAGGUGAAAUUCUUGGAUUUAUUGAAGACUAACUACUGCGAAAGCAUUUGCCAAGGAUGUUUUCAUUAAUCAAGAACGAAAGUUAGGGGAUCGAAGACGAUCAGAUACCGUCGUAGUCUUAACCAUAAACUAUGCCGACUAGGGAUCGGAUGAUGUUAAUUUUUAAUGACUCAUUCGGCGCCUUAACC
This 520-nucleotide unclassified non-coding RNA is filed under the name uncultured Glomus. Its description in RNAcentral is "SSU rRNA". It matches the Rfam family "Eukaryotic small subunit ribosomal RNA", at positions 569 to 1093 of the family's 1831-position model. Lineage: Eukaryota; Fungi; Glomeromycota; Glomeromycetes; Glomerales; Glomeraceae. The record is from RNAcentral.